Molecule: ribosomal RNA, 253 nt
Filed under: uncultured bacterium
Lineage: Bacteria
Description: partial 16S ribosomal RNA
Rfam family: Bacterial small subunit ribosomal RNA
Source: RNAcentral
UACGAAGGGGGCUAGCGUUGCUCGGAAUCACUGGGCGUAAAGCGCACGUAGGCGGAUCGUUAAGUCAGGGGUGAAAUCCUGGAGCUCAACUCCAGAACUGCCUUUGAUACUGGCGACCUUGAGUUCGGGAGAGGUGAGUGGAACUGCGAGUGUAGAGGUGAAAUUCGUAGAUAUUCGCAAGAACACCAGUGGCGAAGGCGGCGCACUGGCCCGAUACUGACGCUGAGGUGCGAAAGCGUGGGGAGCAAACAGG